RNAcentral lists this ribosomal RNA (253 nucleotides) under uncultured bacterium. RNAcentral describes it as "partial 16S ribosomal RNA". It matches the Rfam family "Bacterial small subunit ribosomal RNA", at positions 524 to 776 of the family's 1533-position model. The record is from RNAcentral.
AACGUAGGACACAAGCGUUAUCCGGAGUUACUGGGCGUAAAGGGCGUGUAGGCGGACGUGUAAGUCUAUUCUGAAAGCUCCUGGCUAAACUGGGAGAGGCGAAUGGAGACUGCAUAUCUAGAGUGAGGAAGAGGAAAGUGGAAUUCCGCGUGUAGUGGUGAAAUGCGUAGAUAUCAGGAAGAACACCAACGGCGAAGGCAGCUCGCUGGGACGGUACUGACGCUGAGACGCGAAAGCGUGGGGAGCGAACAGG